Molecule: ribosomal RNA, 253 nt
Filed under: uncultured bacterium
Lineage: Bacteria
Description: partial 16S ribosomal RNA
Rfam family: Bacterial small subunit ribosomal RNA
Source: RNAcentral
UACGUAGGUGGCAAGCGUUGUCCGGAAUCACUGGGCGUAAAGCGCACGUAGGCGGAUGUGUCAGUCAGGGGUGAAAUCCCGGAGCUCAACUUCGGAACUGCCUUUGAUACAGCACAUCUGGAGUCCGGAAGAGGUGGGUGGAAUUCCUAGUGUAGAGGUGAAAUUCGUAGAUAUUAGGAAGAACACCAGUGGCGAAGGCGGCUCACUGGCCCGGUACUGACGCUGAGGCGCGAAAGCGUGGGGAGCAAACAGG